Molecule: ribosomal RNA, 305 nt
Filed under: uncultured bacterium
Lineage: Bacteria
Description: partial 16S ribosomal RNA
Rfam family: Bacterial small subunit ribosomal RNA
Source: RNAcentral
ACAGCAGUCGCCACGGUAAUACGUAGGUGGCAAGCGUUGUCCGGAAUUAUUGGGCGUAAAGGGCUCGCAGGCGGUUUCUUAAGUCUGAUGUGAAAGCCCCCGGCUCAACCGGGGAGGGUCAUUGGAAACUGGGAAACUUGAGUGCAGAAGAGGAGAGUGGAAUUCCACGUGUAGCGGUGAAAUGCGUAGAGAUGUGGAGGAACACCAGUGGCGAAGGCGACUCUCUGGUCUGUAACUGACGCUGAGGAGCGAAAGCGUGGGGAGCAAACAGGAUUAGAUACCCCGGUAGUCCCUGUCUCUUAUAC